RNAcentral lists this long non-coding RNA (249 nucleotides) under Elaeis guineensis (African oil palm). RNAcentral's name for it is "long non-coding RNA (EGUI_LNC053750)". Lineage: Eukaryota; Viridiplantae; Streptophyta; Magnoliopsida; Arecales; Arecaceae. The record is from RNAcentral.
GAUGGCUCCAUCGCUGUUGCCACAUCCUAUUUUCAUUCUUUCAAAUUUUAAAUAUUUAAAUUUAAAAUUAAUUUAAUAAUAAUAUUAUUAAUAAUAUUAUUAAUUUUAAUAAUAUUAAUAAUAUUAUUAUUAAUUUUAAUAAUAAUAUUAUUAAUAUUAUUUAAAUUAAUAUUAUUCUGAAGAGGUGGAAUCACUCUGGAAAGCUCUCCGAUAAGAGUAGUGCCUACUGCCUUCAAUGAUAGGGGUUCA